NUCUCUCUCUCCUUUCUUUCUCUUUCUUUCUCUCUUUCUCUUUCCUUCUCUUUUUCCUUCUCUCUCACUUUGUUUUCUCUUUCGCCCUAUUGCUCUAUUUCUUUUUUCCCUUUCUCCAUCUCUCACUUUCUCUCUCCUCUCUUGCUUCUCUCUCUUCUUCCCUCUCUGUUUUCCUGUUUAUCACCUUUUCUCCCUCUUUUCCUCCUUACCUCUCUAUUUUUCUUUCCUCUCUCUUUCCCUCUUUGCUUUUAUCUGCCUCUUUCUCUGUCUCUCCAGUCUCUCCCGCUUCAUCUCGGCGUCACUGGGAGCUGCUUUGCCGCUCUCCGCAGGGUUUUUCCAGCUCUGUCCACCUCCCGUCGGACCCCGGGGAUCGCCCACCCGGCCGCACCAGGGGGGGUCUCCCCUCUUCCCCGGGGAGAGAGCGGCGAGGACCCCCCGGGCCCCGCGGUUCCCCUGCCCUGCAGGAUUGUGGCCCAGCUCCUGCCCAGAGCCCAGCACCCUGGCCCGGGCUGCCGGACCCCCCCGGGGCAUAAGUGCCCAACCAACCUCAGCCCAACCAGCUUUUGCCAUCAGGCCACACGCAGCGGAAACUGCCCUGGAGAAGUCCCAGGUGCCUCCUGCUUCCCCCAAAAAAGCGACCUCCGAAGCUCUGUUGGGGUCCCCAGCCCUCACCUCCGCCGCCCGCGCCCCAGCCCACCCGCGGCUCUCCCUCCCACCCGCGCUGCCCCCCACGCUGCCUUUGCGGGGCUUUCCCGUGCGGGUGCAGCCUCCCCGUGGGCUCCGUCCUUCCCCUUUUACCGGCCCGUGGCUCCUUGUACAGACGGGGGGAGCGGGGGGGGCAAGCGGCAGCGUCCCCGGGCCGGGAGAGCGCCCAUGGGGGGCCGCUGGGGGCUGCGGGCAGCACCAGACCCACGGCGGCUCCUCUGCCACCAGAUCGCGUUUCGCUGUUAAACAAGGCGCACCCCGGUUCCCCAAGCCCUUGGCAGCAACAGGUGACACUGCGAUCCGGGACGGGGCAAAAACCCCACUCCCGGCAGGGUCUGAUCGCACGUUUCCAACCCUUCCUCAUCGUUCACAUCCU
This 1081-nucleotide long non-coding RNA is filed under the name Anser brachyrhynchus (Pink-footed goose). RNAcentral describes it as "lncRNA (ENSABRG00000016704.1)". The record is from RNAcentral. Lineage: Eukaryota; Metazoa; Chordata; Aves; Anseriformes; Anatidae.